GACGAACGCUGGCGGCGUGCUUAACACAUGCAAGUCGAACGGAAAGGCCCUGCUUUUGUGGGGUGCUCGAGUGGCGAACGGGUGAGUAACACGUUAGUAACCUUCCCUUGACUUUGGGAUAACUUCAGGAAACUUGGGCUAAUACCGGAUAGGAGCUCCUGCUGCAUGGUGGGGGUUGGAAAGUUUCGGCGGUUGGGGAUGGACUCGCGGCUUAUCAGCUUGUUGGUGGGGUAGUGUCUUACCAAGGCUUUGACGGGUAGCCGGCCUGAGAGGGUGACCGGCCACAUUGGGACUGAGAUACGGCCCAGACUCCUACGGGAGGCAGCAGUGGGGAAUAUUGCACAAUGGGCGGAAGCCUGAUGCAGCAACGCCGCGUGCGGGAUGACGGCCUUCGGGUUGUAAACCGCUUUCGCCUGUGACGAAGCGUGAGUGACGGUAAUGGGUAAAGAAGCACCGGCUAACUACGUG
Molecule: ribosomal RNA, 468 nt
Filed under: uncultured bacterium
Lineage: Bacteria
Description: partial 16S ribosomal RNA
Rfam family: Bacterial small subunit ribosomal RNA
Source: RNAcentral